RNAcentral lists this ribosomal RNA (398 nucleotides) under uncultured bacterium. RNAcentral describes it as "bacterial SSU rRNA". It matches the Rfam family "Bacterial small subunit ribosomal RNA", at positions 357 to 772 of the family's 1533-position model. The record is from RNAcentral.
GGGAAUAUUGGACAAUGGGCGAAAGCCUGAUCCAGCAAUGCCGCGUGUGUGAAGAAGGUCUUCGGAUUGUAAAGCACUUUCGGCGGGGACGAUGAUGACGGUACCCGCAGAAGAAGCCCCGGCUAACUUCGUGCCAGCAGCCGCGGUAAUACGAAGGGGGCGAGCGUUGCUCGGAAUGACUGGGCGUAAAGGGCGCGUAGGUGGUACGGACAGUCAGAUGUGAAAUUCCUGGGCUCAACCUGGGGGCUGCAUUUGAUACGUCCGAACUAGAGUGUGGAAGAGGGUCGUGGAAUUCCCAGUGUAGAGGUGAAAUUCGUAGAUAUUGGGAAGAACACCAAAGGCGAAAGCACUCUGCUGGGCCGAGACUGACACUGAGGGACGAAAGCUAGGGGAGCGAA